RNAcentral lists this ribosomal RNA (253 nucleotides) under uncultured bacterium. RNAcentral's name for it is "partial 16S ribosomal RNA". It matches the Rfam family "Bacterial small subunit ribosomal RNA", at positions 524 to 776 of the family's 1533-position model. The record is from RNAcentral.
UACGUAGGCAGCAAGCGUUGUUCGGAGUUACUGGGCGUAAAGGGUGCGUAGGCGGCCCUGUAAGUAUGGUGUGAAAUCUCCCGGCUUAACUGGGAGGGUGCGCUAUAGACUGUGGGACUAGAGUGUGGGAGAGGAAAGUGGAAUUCCUGGUGUAGCGGUGAAAUGCGUAGAUAUCAGGAGGAACACCGGUGGUGUAAACGGCUUUCUGGACCAUAACUGACGCUGAGGCACGAAAGCGUGGGUAGCAAACAGG